CGGUUGGCCAGGGAGUAAUGGAGCCGUGUGGAAUCCGUCGCAGGAAGUGGAGCAGAGUCGUGGCCAUUACUGCGGCCACGCCAGGGAGUGCAGGCCUGUUGGCCGAAGCUCGAUUGGAGUGUCUGACGGGGAGAGGUGGUUAGCUACCCAUUCUAGAGGAGCCCAGAGUCUGGCUCUCGUGGGAGUCUGGAUGGAGUCUUCCC
Molecule: long non-coding RNA, 203 nt
Filed under: Elaeis guineensis (African oil palm)
Lineage: Eukaryota; Viridiplantae; Streptophyta; Magnoliopsida; Arecales; Arecaceae
Description: long non-coding RNA (EGUI_LNC057552)
Source: RNAcentral